Molecule: long non-coding RNA, 557 nt
Filed under: Homo sapiens (human)
Lineage: Eukaryota; Metazoa; Chordata; Mammalia; Primates; Hominidae
Description: HSALNT0234929
Source: RNAcentral
UGGGAAAUCAGCAAAGGUCCCCUCUUGGAAAAUAUCAUCAGGUUCAGGGAUGUAUAAAGAAGAAAGUAACACUUCGUAAGUUUCAUCGUUUAGCUAACCCCCUGUGUAAAGUAGUAAAGUAACCAUGUGUCUGCUUAGAAAAUUGAACAGCACAGAAAGCUGCACCAUAAGUCUUCCCUGUUCCUUCCCAGCUGCCCCAUUAGGAGUUCCUAGUGUAGACGUUGUACAUAGUAGCAUGCGUGUGAGACACAGAUAUCUUUUUUUUUUAAGUUCCGGGAUACAUGUGUAGGAUGUGCAGGUUUGUUACAUAGGUAAACGUGUUCCAUGGUGAUUUGCUGCACCUACCAACCCAUCACCUAAGUAUUAAGCCCAGCAUGCAUUAGCUAUUUUACCUGAUGUUCUCCCUCCCACUGCCCCUGCCCUGACAGGCCCCAGUAUGUGUUGUUCCCCUCCCUGUGUCCAUAUGUUCUCAUUGUUCAGCUCCCACUUACGAGUGAGAACAUGCAGUGCUAGGUUUUCUGUUCCUGCGUUCGUUUGCUGAGGAUAAUGUUUUCCAG